GAUGAACGCUGGCGGCGUGCCUAAUACAUGCAAGUCGAGCGAACAGACGAGGAGCUUGCUCCUCUGACGUUAGCGGCGGACGGGUGAGUAACACGUGGAUAACCUACCUAUAAGACUGGGAUAACUUCGGGAAACCGGAGCUAAUACCGGAUAAUAUAUUGAACCGCAUGGUUCAAUAGUGAAAGACGGUUUUGCUGUCACUUAUAGAUGGAUCCGCGCCGCAUUAGCUAGUUGGUAAGGUAACGGCUUACCAAGGCAACGAUGCGUAGCCGACCUGAGAGGGUGAUCCGCCACACUGGAACUGAGACACGGUCCAGACUCCUACGGGAGGCAGCAGUAGGGAAUCUUCCGCAAUGGGCGAAAGCCUGACGGAGCAACGCCGCGUGAGUGGUGAAGGUCUUCGGAUUCUAAAACCCUGUUAUUAGGGAAGAAAAAAAGUUGAAGUAACCAUGCACAUCUUGACGGUACCUAAUCAAAAAGCCACGGCUAACUUCGUG
This 497-nucleotide ribosomal RNA is filed under the name uncultured bacterium. RNAcentral describes it as "partial 16S ribosomal RNA". It matches the Rfam family "Bacterial small subunit ribosomal RNA", at positions 28 to 507 of the family's 1533-position model. The record is from RNAcentral.